This 253-nucleotide ribosomal RNA is filed under the name uncultured bacterium. RNAcentral's name for it is "partial 16S ribosomal RNA". It matches the Rfam family "Bacterial small subunit ribosomal RNA", at positions 524 to 776 of the family's 1533-position model. The record is from RNAcentral.
UACAGAGGGUGCGAGCGUUGUCCGGAAUCACUGGGCGUAAAGCGUCUGUAGGUGGUUUAAAAAGUCCACUGUUAAAAAUUGAAGCUUAACUUCAAAGAUGCCGUGGAAACUUUUAAACUUGAGUAUGGUAGGGGUAGAGGGAAUUCCCGGUGUAGCGGUGAAAUGCGUAGAGAUCGGGAAGAACAUCGGUGGCGAAGGCGCUCUACUGGACCACAACUGACACUCAGGGACGAAAGCUAGGGGAGCGAAUGGG